GAUGAACGCUGGCGGCGUGCUUAACACAUGCAAGUCGAACGAGAAAUGGAGACGGACACCUUCGGGCGGAAGGCUUCAUUUCGAGUGGCGGACGGGUGAGUAACGCGUGGGUAACCUGCCUCAGACAGGGGGAUAACAGUUGGAAACGACUGUUAAUACCGCAUAAGACGACAGCACCGCAUGGUGCGGGGGUAAAAACUCUGGUGGUAUGAGAUGGACCCGCGUUUGAUUUGCCAGGUGGCGGGGUAACGGCCCACCAAAGCGACGAUCGAUAGCCGAGCUGAGAGGAUGACCGGCCACAUUGGGACUGAGACGCGGCCCAAACUCCUACGGGAGGCAGCAGUGGGGAAUAUUGCACAAUGGGGGAAGCCCUGAUGCAGCGACGCCGCGUGAGUGAAGAAGUACUUCGGUAUGUAAAGCUCUAUCAGCAGGGAAGAAAAUGACGGUACCUGAGUAAGAAGCCCCGGCUAACUACGUG
This 478-nucleotide ribosomal RNA is filed under the name uncultured bacterium. RNAcentral describes it as "partial 16S ribosomal RNA". It matches the Rfam family "Bacterial small subunit ribosomal RNA", at positions 28 to 507 of the family's 1533-position model. The record is from RNAcentral.